RNAcentral lists this non-coding RNA (21 nucleotides) under Caenorhabditis elegans. The record is from RNAcentral. Lineage: Eukaryota; Metazoa; Nematoda; Chromadorea; Rhabditida; Rhabditidae.
UUUUCUUUUUCCACUUUAAAA